GUCAGAUUUGCUCUAAAUGCUUUGGUUUUUGAGUUAUAAGCCAAAAACUGCAUUUUACCCCCUAUGUUCUAUUUUUAGCCAUGGCGGCCAUCUUGGUUGGUUGGCCGGGUCACGCCACACAUUUUUUAAACUAGAUAUCCCAAAGAUGAUUGUGGCCAAGUUUGGAUUAAUUUGGCCCAGUAGUUUCAGAGGAGAAGAUUUUUGUAAAAGAUUACUUAAGAUUUUACGAAAAAUGGUUAAAAAUUGACUAUAAAGGGCAAUAACUCCUAAAGGGGUCAACUGACCAUUUUGGUCAUGUUGACUUAUUUGUAAAUCCAACUUUGCUGAACAUUAUUGCUGUUUACAGUUUAUCUCUAUCUAUAAUAAUAUUCAAGAUAAUAACCAAAAACAGCAAAAUUUCCCUAAAAUUACCAAGUUCAGGGGCAGCAACCCAACAACGGGUUGUCCGAUUCAUCUGAAAAUUUGAGGGCAGAUAGAUCUUGACCUGAUAAACAAUUUUACCCCAUGUCAGAUUUGCUCUAAAUGCUUUGGUUUUUGAGUUAUAAGCCAAAAACUGCAUUUUACCCCUAUGUUCUAUUUUUAGCCAUGGCGGCCAUCUUGGUUGGUUGGCCGGGUCACGCCACACAUUUUUUAAACUAGAUACCCCAAUGAUGAUUGUGGCCAAGUUUGGUUUAAUUUGGCCCAGUAGUUUCAGAGGAGAAGAUUUUUGUAAAAGUUAACGACGACGGACGACGGACGACGACGGACGACGACGGACGACGGACGCCAAGUGAUGGGAAAAGCUCACUUGGCCCUUCGGGCCAGGUGAGCUAAAAACAAUAU
Molecule: long non-coding RNA, 822 nt
Filed under: Mytilus galloprovincialis (Mediterranean mussel)
Lineage: Eukaryota; Metazoa; Mollusca; Bivalvia; Mytilida; Mytilidae
Source: RNAcentral